This is a long non-coding RNA of Dermochelys coriacea (leatherback sea turtle), 2188 nucleotides long. RefSeq lists it as uncharacterized. Lineage: Eukaryota; Metazoa; Chordata; Testudines; Dermochelyidae. The record is from RefSeq and is a predicted model, not a curated record. The transcript has 3 exons.
AGAUCUGGCAUCUUGGAGAGAAGGUGUCUCUGCAGCUGCUAGAGGCUGAUGCUUCCAGAAGGCCCAGUAGAGAAAAGUACACCACAUUGGUUCAGAAUAUGAAAAUGUAAAAGAAAGAAGGUUGCUCAAGAGAAGACAAAGGAGUUCAAUAAAAUGCACAAGAUUGGCAGCUACAUGGGAAUAAUAUGCUAAAAACAUGGAUUAAGCAGUGUUGGAUUUUAUCAGCAACAGUUGGAUAACGUCACUUUAAAUUGCUUUUUGUAUCAGGCUGCUAUGUUGAAACUAUUGUCAAAAUAUGGACUUGGGCCAUUCAUUGGAGGAUUUAUCAUUUGUGUGAAAGAUGGUAAAAGUAUUAUGGAAAUUACACUUCUCAUAUUUGUUUUGCAUCAGUGUCCAAACUCACCAAGAUUUUUAUUUUUGAUCUGCCCUAGCAAAUUACUGUGUUUUAUGUUUGAUGUGUUACAGAGCUGUAAUACUGUCUUAUUAUUGGUUUGGAUGAUGUCAUGGUACAGAAAAAAUGAUGACAAAGCAGGUUGUAAAGUCAUCCAAAAUAUAGUUUGUGUUUCCUGAUAUAAUUGUGUAAACUAUGGGGUAUUCAUGCAUGUGCGAGUGUGCUGUAUCUGUGUAUAUCAUACCUCUUAGAAAAAUCCAAUAUUAUUAUUAUAUUGCAGAACUGCCCAUUGAUUCCAGUAAGGACAAGGGUUGCAUUGUGCUCUGGGCUGUAUAAAAACAUAUGAAGACAUGAUUCUUGCCAAGGAUAUAACUUUCCUAUAAUUUUUGAACCAUUCUGCAGAAUUUGAUAGAUAAUUAAAUCCCUGCUACACAAUCCUAUAAGUGGAAAGGUUAUCAAUCUCCAUUAACUAUGAUGGACGUUUAAGAGAAAGUCUAUAGAACCCUAUUCAAUUCUAAUAGAAUCCUAUAGGUUAACUUUGCUUUUAAAUUUAUUAGCAUUUUCCACAUAUAUUGGAGUGUGUGUAUCUGUAUCCAGAGCAAUAUAUUUCAGAGUUAAGAGUUGUGAUGUGCAGGAAUUUAAAUGUCUAUCCGUCUUCAAUACCACACAGUUCCUAUGGCCAAUCAAGACUUGGCCUGAUCACUACUCCCAAAAGUAUUCAGGUUGGUUGUAAGAUACCAGGGUUAAUUAGAGAGACUGACUGCCAGGGAGAGCACUCUAGAGGUCUCCAACCUUCUGCCCCAGGGCACUAGAAUGAAGAAGAGGAAUUAAUGGGAAUGAAGUGAGAGAAGAAUAAGAGGAGUUUGUCCUAUGAAUGUAGCCAGCAGACAAAUACUUGGGGGGAAUCAUUCACAGAUACUUCCACAGAUACGGAGCCAGAUAGUCCAUAGCUCAAAGUGGGCUGGUGUACUGUGUUACUUUGUUGUACUAUUUUUGCUAACCUUGUGCGAGCAUAAGCAAAAAUCUUUUAAUGUUCAAUUCAGUGCUGGCAGAUAGCACUUAAAAGAUCGAGUCCAGCAAGUUUUGCCUUGGUUGUCCUCUGAGAGCAAUAGGAUGGGGAUAGGGAUACAGUAAUGACAACAAAGAACGACGGAUGGGAGGAAAGCAACAUGGGAUGUGGAGGAGAGAGAGGUGAGAACACAGUCAGACUGGUCAGGAGGAAAGGCGGCAAGGCUACUAAAUGGAAGAGGUGAAGCAGGAAAUAGGACCACGUUAGAAAAGAAUGAGACAAUACAGCAAACUACACAGAAUAGAAGGGCAGUAAAAGAGGGAAAUCCCAAGAAAAAGGGUGAUUAGGAAGAAAAGAAAGUAAAUGGAGAACAAGUCCCACCUCUAUGGAGAGGAUGCCUUUGAGUACUGAAUUUCCAGUUAGGGCUAGCUUGGAUCUCUCUUCAGGCCUGAUCCAAAUCCCAUUAAAGUCAAUGGGAAGUUCUCAGUUGUCUUUAAUAAGCAGUGGAUCAUGCCCAUUGUCAUUAAGUUCAAUCUUCUACAUUUCCUAUAUUGUUCUCUGGUAUGCACCUUCUUUUGGAUAUUUCCAUUCGUAGUGUCUUUGUUUUUCCUUAUGCUGUAUCUAAUCUAAUGUUGCUUUCACAGUGUGUAUUGGUCAAAGUGAAACCUCAAAUGGCAAAUAAAAAUCAGAAAUGCUCAGAAAAUAAUAGAACCAAGUGCCUGGGAUUUGCAAAUAACUGCUGUCAAAAAAUCAAUACAAAGGGAGAUAAUAAAAACAUAUUUUUAGAC